GUUGUAUAUAUGCUAAUUUGUACAAGUUUGUAGCUUGAUUCAGUGAAAACUAUAAUAAUUACAACGUUUGCAACAAAAAACGGGAGACCAAGGACGAAGAAGUAGCAUGAUUUUAGUUUUCCAACGCGAUUUAAAAGUCAGAGAGUUUCCUAUCGGAGCUCCAGCACCUCCGCGUCGGAACAUUCUAGUAGAAGAUGAGCAACGCUGAGCAUCGUCGUCUACUCCAGAUCUACUCCAGAUUUUUGCCAACGUCUCUCUUUUCUAACGCCGCCAAGAUCUCAUCCAGUUGCGGCGGAUUGAAGCACCGAUGAUCUCCUCCACGACGAGCACCUCCAAUUCAUCUAACUCCUCAGAUCUGCCUUCCUUGAAGACGAGUUCUCGUCAACGCCGUGCGCGAUGGCGGUGGCGAAGCAGCAGUUGGAGUUCAGAUCCAUCCUCUUCUCUACGUCAAGGAGGAUGAGGAGGACUCGAUUAAUUACUGCGUAGAAAUAUUAGCGCUUCUCCACCACCACAGAGCUGCCUCUAGACAUCACUUCAGAGACGAAGAUGUCGAAGGACUUUGAUGUUGAAUUUUUUGUUGUGGUUUGUAUUUUUUUUUUUAAAUCUAUUUUUAUUUCGAGCUGAGAUCUAAGGUUUGAAGGACAUGGCUCAGAUCUAAAUAGAUAGUUUGGACAGAAUUUUUUUUGGGUAAAUUGAACAUAUAGAAGAAUUUCAAGAAAAAA
Molecule: long non-coding RNA, 722 nt
Organism: Camellia sinensis
Lineage: Eukaryota; Viridiplantae; Streptophyta; Magnoliopsida; Ericales; Theaceae
Source: RefSeq, a predicted model, not a curated record